RNAcentral lists this transfer RNA (73 nucleotides) under Stegodyphus mimosarum. It matches the Rfam family "tRNA". Rfam says of the family: Transfer RNA (tRNA) molecules are approximately 80 nucleotides in length. Lineage: Eukaryota; Metazoa; Arthropoda; Arachnida; Araneae; Eresidae. The record is from Rfam by way of RNAcentral.
GCCUUUGUGGUGUAAUGGUCAGCACACUCGGCGCGUAUUCGAGAGGUCCAGGUUUCGAGUCCCGGGGAGGGCA